This is a long non-coding RNA of Oreochromis niloticus (Nile tilapia), 1664 nucleotides long. Lineage: Eukaryota; Metazoa; Chordata; Actinopteri; Cichliformes; Cichlidae. The record is from Ensembl.
UUUUACUCUGUAGCCAUUAUAUACACUUAGCAAACAAGUACUAACUUAUUUUAGAAUAAUACUGGAACCAGGUUUGCUCCUGUCACUUAAACCAAUCAAAGCAUACUGAGUCUACUGACUCUGUACCUUCUUUACUUUGUUCUCAAUCAUUUUUACCAGUAAAAAGACAAUUUUGCAUUUUUUGCUUUUUGGUUUUGUUAUCAUCUGUGAACAAGCAAACUCAUAACAAAAAUCUGCAUUGUAAUACAGAUCACAAUAUUAGGAAUUAGAACUUCAUUCUUUCCUUUUGCUGCAUAAAACAAAAACACCAGGGAAACAACUACUUCAUUUUAUUGUAAUUAUUCUCAUUUAGUCAUAUAUUUUUUAUAAUUAUUCUGUGCAGAUGACGACGACGAUGAAGACAGUAUUUAUCACAAGGGCUCUGUGUGCUCAUAUUGUGAAUUCUGUGAGCACUGUGACAGCUGUGAUAAAUGUCCUUGUGAGGAGGGAGACACCUCCGAGCACUGUGAUGACUGCAAGAUGUGCAGUUUCUGCAAUGUGUGUCCUGUUUGCCAAACCGUUUGUAAGCCUGGUGAGUAAAUUCUCUGUCACCACUAUGAAUAUAUAUGGAACGACAUUGCAAAAGGAAAGUUUCUUUGUUUCAGUUUAUCUGGUCAUCACUCUUAAAUUAGAGGAAGCUUAGAGUUUGGCACUUUAUAUAGAGUCAUGUCCUGUUUUGGGGAAUCAUCAUAUUUUCCGUUUGCUAUAUUAUGCUCAAGUCUUAGAUUUAGUCUCUUUAGUCUGAUAUUGUUUCCAUGGUACUCGUGUGUUUACUAUCUUAGCUUCUAGUCAUCUUCCUGGUUGUGCAUACUUAGGUAUGAUCUUUAGUACCCUGCUUGCUUUUUGUUUAUUUUGUAUUCCUUCGGUCUGGUCCCUGUGUUUCUUUAUGUCUUCUGUGUUUCCUUGAAGUCUGUCAUGUCUCCAUAGUUUUUCUUCUGUCUAUGUCAGGUUUGUAUGUCUCACAUUACUUCUGGUUUUCCCCUGUGCAUUUAUUAAUGUGAACAUUAAGAUCCAAAUCUUGAUUUAUUAAACAUUAUUUAUAAAUAAUUGAUGUGUUUUCAUUACUGUUUUCUAUAUUGUCCUCUGUUGUCCAUUCUUGUUGUCACUGUUUGUUCUAAUAUGAUGUGAUCACUGGUUUUUGUCCUUGUCUCUAUAUACAUGGUCUGUAAAUAGUGUCUCUGUAUGUUGCUAUUAACCUGUGUGUAAAUCAACCUGCCAGAGGGUCUACAGAUGGAAAUUAGCCUAAGGCUAUAAUCUGGCAUAUUUACAUUUGUUAAAAUGUUCAUUAGUAUGUAUUGUCCCUCUUUCUAAUAAAAAAAGGAAAUAUAAUAUUAUGCUAUUAAACAUUCAUAUGAAGACCCAAAUCUACAUUUAUCUACCUCCUGCAGGUGUUUGCAGGCAAGUUUUUUUUGGCUCUUAACUACUUCAACUUCAAACCCAGGCUACUCUGAAACUUUAAAUGGUGCACGUGUGUGUGUGUGUGUGUGUGUGUGUGUGUGUGUGUGUGUGUGUGUGUGUGUGUGUCAGAGGGGUGUUUACAUCCUGCUACCAAUCAAAAACUGUCUGCUUAGAAUUUGUGGAAUCACACUGAGGUCGUUUCAGGUCAUUUUUUGUUGUACUGCAUU